GACAGAGGUCCCGAGCGUUAGGCGGAAUCACUGGGCUUAAAGCGUGUGUAGGCGGAGUGCUAAGUACCUUGUGAAAUCCCACGGCUCAACCGUGGAACUGCUUGGUAUACUGGUUCUCUUGAGCCACCUAGGGGCAACCGGAACAAACGGUGGAGCGGUGAAAUGCGUAGAUAUCGAGAGGAACACCUGUGGCGAAGGCGGGUAGCUGGGCCGACACUGACGCUGAGGCGCGAAAGCCAGGGGAGCGAACGGG
This 253-nucleotide ribosomal RNA is filed under the name uncultured bacterium. RNAcentral's name for it is "partial 16S ribosomal RNA". It matches the Rfam family "Bacterial small subunit ribosomal RNA", at positions 524 to 776 of the family's 1533-position model. The record is from RNAcentral.